RNAcentral lists this ribosomal RNA (385 nucleotides) under uncultured bacterium. RNAcentral's name for it is "bacterial SSU rRNA". It matches the Rfam family "Bacterial small subunit ribosomal RNA", at positions 30 to 414 of the family's 1533-position model. The record is from RNAcentral.
AUUGAACGCUGGCGGCAUGCCUUACACAUGCAAGUCGAACGGCAGCACGGGAGCUUGCUCCUGGUGGCGAGUGGCGAACGGGUGAGUAAUACAUCGGAACGUACCCUGAAGUGGGGAGUAACGUAGCGAAAGUUACGCUAAUACCGCAUAUUCUGUGAGCAGGAAGAGGGGAGUCGCAAGACCUCUUGCUUUAGGAGCGGCCGAUGUCGGAUUAGCUAGUUGGUGAGGUAAAGGCUCACCAAGGCGACGAUCCGUAGCGGGUCUGAGAGGAUGAUCCGCCACACUGGGACUGAGACACGGCCCAGACUCCUACGGGAGGCAGCAGUGGGGAAUUUUGGACAAUGGGCGCAAGCCUGAUCCAGCCAUGCCGCGUGAGUGAAGAAGG